CCAGGCAGAGGGAGGAGGCGGCAGGCUUUUGAAAACUGGUCCACAACGACCAGGAUGGUCGUGAAACCUUGUGAAGAGACAACAUCCUGGAGGCUGUUAAAGCAGAAGACCUUAUGACAGAUGAAGAGAUCACAGUAAAAACAAGGUUACAAUGUACAAGGUUUUUAGUAUGAGGUGGCAUUCACAACUUUUACAAGGCUGGUAAAAACUGAAUCAACUUCUAAAAAUACUUUUAUAUUAUACUAUUAUAGGAUCUGGAGAAAAACCUGCUAAGUGGGCAUGUUCUGUCUGUGGAAACACAAAGGAUUUGAUCCUCUCCUCAGAAAACAUUACAGCAAACAUGUGACUUUAUUCAAUGACAUGAAGACAGACGAGAUUAUCCAGAGACUGGAAAAAAUACUGACAGUACCUGGAACUGUAGCUGAGAAGCAGCUAUUCAUAACAGAGGUCAUUUUGCCAGAGGAAAACCUUCUUAUCCUACAUAGCCUGGCUGCAGCUGACUGGUGCGAUAAGGCAACAUUCAAUGGAGGACUGAAACUCCCUGCUGUCCUUUCGAUGGACAGAGAAGAAAGAAAAGAAGCCAUCCAGGAGAUGGACACCUGGGAUGGGGAAAUUGAUGAGGAUUCUCCAGCAGAACUUUAUACAUUCGUUUUUGAAAGAAAAAAGGCCUACGACAACUUCUGGGAAGAAUGUGUUGAUAAAAACAAUUACAGACUGUUUACAAGAUUUGAG
Esox lucius (northern pike) is the source of this 732-nucleotide long non-coding RNA. Lineage: Eukaryota; Metazoa; Chordata; Actinopteri; Esociformes; Esocidae. The record is from Ensembl.